AGACAACAGCAGCUUGCUGCUCCGUGGCGGCUCCUAGGCGGCGAGACGGCAAGCAAGACUGCCCCAGAAAUGGAGAGGGCGUCCGUACGAGUCCAACGGAACAGGCGGCGUCCAAUUUGGUGGUCGGAUGAGGGAGAAAUCAACCGGAGAAGAAUGAGAGCGUGGGAGAGUCGGGAGAGAGGAGAGAGAACUGGAAACUGGCUGCUGCAACUUUAGGGCUUCAAAAAAAUAACUCCCACACAUUUUUCUACUUAUAUAUACUUUCCAAACCCGGAAACUAACUUCCUCUGACCAUAACUUUCUCAUACGACAUCCGUUUUAGACGUGCCGCAUGUCUACGAACUCGUAUCGACAAGCUCUACAACUUUCAUGAAGGAAGUUUUCGAAGAUAACUUACGGAAAAUAAAGUCAACUUUUGGCCUAUUAAAAGUCAAGGCAACUUUAAAUAAACUCCCGAACUUCAACUUCGCAUAAACCCAAGAAUUUUCAUGAAUAAUCCUUCAUUAAAAUAAGGGAAUAAAAUAAGGAAAAUAGAAAUGAAAAUCUAGGGUAUUACAGUCGGAAUGUUGAUCCUUUUACUAUGCUCUUUGUCGUUAUCACGAAUUCUCCUAAGUCAACCUCACUUUCUUAAACAAGUUGAAUGAAUCUGAUUUUCCAUCUCAGUCAUUGAUCUUUUUCAUUCAUAAACCUUGUUUGGUUUGAUGGUGUUGUGUUUAAUUUGGUGGUCUUAUGUUUCGAUAAGACAUGUUGCACUACUCGACGUUAUAUGAAUCGUACACGAGUGAUGUUAUUCGCUUUGUUUUCUUUUUUUAAUUAGGUUUUGUCACAUCCCGACCCUUAUAUUUUUACCUUAUUUACUAGCGUGAUUAUAAUAAGAAUUUUACCGUCUCGAUUAUUGAGUAAAUAGUUUAAUUGGUCCCUAGAGGGGUUUCGGGGACGAUUAUGUGCGGAGGAUUAUUCGUAUGAGGAAAAUACGAUGACGGUAAAAAUAGUAAAUUUUAGCUAGUAAAAGGUAAUUUUUAUUCGGGUAUUAUUUUUCGGGGUGUUGAAUUUUGGAAUUAUGGGUUAAAAGGGGUGUUGGGUCGGCUGGGCCGAGCCCAACCCAUUUCUUCUUCUUUCUCUUCUCCCUCCCUCCCGAUUUUUCUUCUCCUCCCACCCGAUUUUCUUCUCUCUACACCCAGCAAACUUCCGGCCGUCCUCCCGCCGCCGUCCGACCUCCGUUCGCCGCCGGACCGGUCCCGUUCGGUCGGUCUCCCU
RNAcentral lists this long non-coding RNA (1257 nucleotides) under Fragaria vesca (wild strawberry). RNAcentral's name for it is "long non-coding RNA (FVES_LNC005073)". Lineage: Eukaryota; Viridiplantae; Streptophyta; Magnoliopsida; Rosales; Rosaceae. The record is from RNAcentral.